This 278-nucleotide RNase P RNA is filed under the name Candidatus Aenigmatarchaeota archaeon. Its description in RNAcentral is "RNase P RNA component". It matches the Rfam family "Archaeal RNase P". Rfam says of the family: Ribonuclease P (RNase P) is a ubiquitous endoribonuclease, found in archaea, bacteria and eukarya as well as chloroplasts and mitochondria. Its best characterised activity is the generation of mature 5'-ends of tRNAs by cleaving the 5'-leader elements of precursor-tRNAs. Cellular RNase Ps are ribonucleoproteins. The record is from RNAcentral. Lineage: Archaea; Nanobdellati; Candidatus Aenigmatarchaeota.
GCGAGUUGGUUUGGUAGCUUCGCUCACAUGUCAAAGUGUGAGUGAGGAAGUUCUCUCCACCCGCUAACUAACAAAGGCUGAGAAGCCUGCAUCAGAAUCAGAAACGAGACCAUAUUGCCUCGUUAACUAUGAUCAAUAGUGAGUUGAGGCGAUGUUGGAUGAAACGGUCUGGUGCUGGUUGGGUGCAAGCGUAAGCGCUUAGACAAAUGCUACCUAUGCGUUUGCUGAAGUCAAAUUCAGCGAAUGCAAAAACAUAAGAGAGGCUAUUGCCAACACGC